UGUAGGCUGCAACUCGCCUACAUGAAGUCGGAAUUGCUAGUAAUCGCGGAUCAGCAUGCCGCGGUGAAUACGUUCCCGGGCCUUGUACACACCGCCCGUCACACCAUGGGAGUCGGUAACACCCGAAGCCGAUAGUCUAACGAAAGAGGACGUCGUCGAAGGUGGGAUUGAUGACUGGGGGUGAAGUCGUAACAAGGUAUC
Molecule: ribosomal RNA, 201 nt
Filed under: uncultured bacterium
Lineage: Bacteria
Description: partial 16S ribosomal RNA
Rfam family: Bacterial small subunit ribosomal RNA
Source: RNAcentral